This 460-nucleotide ribosomal RNA is filed under the name uncultured bacterium. RNAcentral describes it as "partial 16S ribosomal RNA". It matches the Rfam family "Bacterial small subunit ribosomal RNA", at positions 338 to 795 of the family's 1533-position model. The record is from RNAcentral.
CCUACGGGGGGCAGCAGUGAGGAAUAUUGGUCAAUGGACGAGAGUCUGAACCAGCCAAGUAGCGUGAAGGAUGACUGCCCUAUGGGUUGUAAACUUCUUUUAUAAAGGAAUAAAACGAGGCACGCGUGCCCGGAGGGAGAGUACCCGCAGAAUAAGCAUCGGCUAACUCCGUGCCAGCAGCCGCGGUAAUACGGAGGAUGCGAGCGUUAUCCGGUUUUAUUGGGUUUAAAGGGUGCGUAGGCGGAUUUUUAAGUCAGCGGUAAAAUGUCCGGGCUCAACCCGGGCCGGCCGUUGAAACUGGGGAUCUUGAGUGGGCGAGAAGUAUGCGGAAUGCGUGGUGUAGCGGUGAAAUGCAUAGAUAUCACGCAGAACUCCGAUUGCGAAGGCAGCAUACCGGCGCCCGACUGACGCUGAGGCACGAAAGCGUGGGGAUCGAACAGGAUUAGAUACCCGAGUAGUC